This 572-nucleotide ribosomal RNA is filed under the name Lachnum sp. OTU8 TS-2013. RNAcentral's name for it is "eukaryotic LSU rRNA". It matches the Rfam family "Eukaryotic large subunit ribosomal RNA", at positions 62 to 648 of the family's 3401-position model. Lineage: Eukaryota; Fungi; Ascomycota; Leotiomycetes; Helotiales; Lachnaceae. The record is from RNAcentral.
AAACCAACAGGGAUUACCUCAGUAACGGCGAGUGAAGCGGUAACAGCUCAAAUUUGAAAUCUGGCUCUUUCAGGGUCCGAGUUGUAAUUUGUAGAAGAUGCUUUGGGUGUGGCCCUGGUCUAAGUUCCUUGGAACAGGACGUCAUAGAGGGUGAGAAUCCCGUAUGUGACUAGGUGCCUUCGCCCGUGUAAAGCUCUUUCGACGAGUCGAGUUGUUUGGGAAUGCAGCUCAAAAUGGGUGGUAAAUUUCAUCUAAAGCUAAAUAUUGGCCAGAGACCGAUAGCGCACAAGUAGAGUGAUCGAAAGAUGAAAAGCACUUUGGAAAGAGAGUUAAACAGUACGUGAAAUUGUUGAAAGGGAAGCGCUUGCAACCAGACUUAGUUGCGGCCGAUCAUCUAGGGUUCUCCCUGGUGCACUCGGUCGUAUCUAGGCCAGCAUCGGUUUGGGUGGUGGGAUAAAGGCCUUGGGAAUGUAGCUUCUUUCGGGGAGUGUUAUAGCCCUCGGUGCAAUGCCGCCUACCUGGACCGAGGACCGCGCUUCGGCUAGGAUGCUGGCGUAAUGGUUGUAAGCGAC